This 200-nucleotide long non-coding RNA is filed under the name Panax ginseng (ginseng). RNAcentral's name for it is "long non-coding RNA (PGIN_LNC001853)". The record is from RNAcentral. Lineage: Eukaryota; Viridiplantae; Streptophyta; Magnoliopsida; Apiales; Araliaceae.
AGUGAUCAAAGGAGAUGACUCUCUCUGUACCAACUACUCCCUGAUGACAUGAAUGUCUCGAGGCUCCUCCUCUGUAGGUACUCGGGGUUCCUCCUCCCCAGCUCGACUAGCUCCUCCAACAUCCGACAUCCUGACAACAAAAUUUUUAAGUUUUAGUUACUAAUCCGUACUAGCGAGCACAUAAUUUAACACAUAAGCAC